Molecule: ribosomal RNA, 429 nt
Filed under: Chloroflexota bacterium
Lineage: Bacteria; Bacillati; Chloroflexota
Description: Chloroflexi bacterium partial 16S ribosomal RNA
Rfam family: Bacterial small subunit ribosomal RNA
Source: RNAcentral
UGGGGAAUAUUGCACAAUGGGCGCAAGCCUGAUGCAGCCAUGCCGCGUGUAUGAAGAAGGCCUUCGGGUUGUAAAGUACUUUCAGCGGGGAGGAAGGGAGUAAAGUUAAUACCUUUGCUCAUUGACGUUACCCGCAGAAGAAGCACCGGCUAACUCCGUGCCAGCAGCCGCGGUAAUACGGAGGGUGCAAGCGUUAAUCGGAAUUACUGGGCGUAAAGCGCACGCAGGCGGUUUGUUAAGUCAGAUGUGAAAUCCCCGGGCUCAACCUGGGAACUGCAUCUGAUACUGGCAAGCUUGAGUCUCGUAGAGGGGGGUAGAAUUCCAGGUGGAGCGGUGAAAUGCGUAGAGAUCUGGGGGAAUACCGGUGGCGAAGGCGGCCCCCUGGACGAAGACUGACGCUCAGGUGCGAAAGCGUGGGGAGCAAACAAG